UGCCAGCCGCCGCGGUAAUACGGGGGAUGCAAGCGUUAUCCGGAAUUACUGGGCGUAAAGCGCACGUAGGCGGUUUAUUAAGUCAGAUGUGAAAGCCCCGGGCUCAACCUGGGAACUGCACCUGAUACUGGUAGACUAGAAUUUGGGAGAGGUGAGUGGAAUUUCCGGUGUAGCGGUGAAAUGCAUAGAGAUCGGAAGGAACACCAGUGGCGAAGGCGACUCACUGGACCAAAAUUGACGCUGAGGUGCGAAAGCGUGGGUAGCAAACAGGAUUAGAUA
RNAcentral lists this ribosomal RNA (279 nucleotides) under uncultured bacterium. RNAcentral describes it as "partial 16S ribosomal RNA". It matches the Rfam family "Bacterial small subunit ribosomal RNA", at positions 506 to 784 of the family's 1533-position model. The record is from RNAcentral.